RNAcentral lists this ribosomal RNA (256 nucleotides) under uncultured bacterium. RNAcentral's name for it is "partial 16S ribosomal RNA". It matches the Rfam family "Bacterial small subunit ribosomal RNA", at positions 793 to 1055 of the family's 1533-position model. The record is from RNAcentral.
GUCCACGCCUAACGAUGUCAACUGGUUGUUGGACGGCUUGCUGUUCAGUAACGAAGCUAACGCGUGAAGUUGACCGCCUGGGAGUACGGCCGCAAGGUUGAACUCAAGGAAUUGACGGGACCCGCACAAGCGGUGGAUGAUGUGGUUUAAUUCGAUGCAACGCGAAACCUUACCUACCCUUGACAUGUCUGGAAUCCUGAAGAGAUUUGGGAGUGCUCGAAAGAGAACCAGAACACAGGUGCUGCAUGGCCGUCGU